Molecule: ribosomal RNA, 440 nt
Filed under: uncultured bacterium
Lineage: Bacteria
Description: partial 16S ribosomal RNA
Rfam family: Bacterial small subunit ribosomal RNA
Source: RNAcentral
CCUACGGGAUGCAGCAGUGGGGAUUAUUGCACAAUGGGGGAAACCCUGAUGCAGCGACGCCGCGUGAGUGAAGAAGUAUUUCGGUAUGUAAAGCUCUGUCAGCAGGGAAGAAAAUGACGGUACCUGACCAAGAAGCCCCGGCUAACUACGUGCCAGCAGCCGCGGUAAUACGUAGGGGGCAAGCGUUAUCCGGAUUUACUGGGUGUAAAGGGAGCGUAGACGGCAGGGCAAGUCUGGAGUGAAAGGCGGGGGCUCAACCCCCGGACUGCUCUGGAAACUGCCAGGCUGGAGUGCAGGAGAGGUAAGUGGAAUUCCUAGGUGAGCGGUGAAAUGCGUAGAUAUUAGGAGGAACACCAGUGGCGAAGGCGGCUUACUGGACUGUAACUGACGUUGAGGCUCGAAAGCGUGGGGAGCAAACAGGAUUAGAUACCCUUGUAGUC